Molecule: ribosomal RNA, 485 nt
Filed under: uncultured bacterium
Lineage: Bacteria
Description: partial 16S ribosomal RNA
Rfam family: Bacterial small subunit ribosomal RNA
Source: RNAcentral
ACUCAAAUGAAUUGACGGGGGCCCGCACAAGCAGCGGAGCGUGUGGUUUAAUUCGACGCGACGCGAAGAACCUUACCCAGGCUUGACAUGGCGCUGAACGGCUCCGAAAGGAGUCAGGCCCUUCGGGGACAGCGUCACCGGUGUUGCAUGGCUGUCGUCAGCUCGUGCCGUGAGGUGUUGGGUUAAGUCCCGCAACGAGCGCAACCCCCGUGCCUAGUUAGGCUGUCUAGGCAGACUGCCGGCAGAGAGUCGGAGGAAGGCGGGGACGACGUCAAGUCAGCAUGGCCCGUACGUCUGGGGCGACACACACGCUACAAUGGCCGGUACAAUGGGCGGCGAGGCCGCAAGGCGGAGCGAAUCCCAGCAAAGCCGGUCUCAGUUCGGAUUGGGGGCUGCAACUCGCCCCCAUGAAGGCGGAGUUGCUAGUAACUGCCGGUCAGCACACGGCGGUGAAUAUGUUCCCGGGCCUUGUACACACCGCCCGU